This is a small nuclear RNA of Mesocricetus auratus (golden hamster), 158 nucleotides long. RefSeq annotates it as U1 spliceosomal RNA. The record is from RefSeq and is a predicted model, not a curated record. Lineage: Eukaryota; Metazoa; Chordata; Mammalia; Rodentia; Cricetidae. The transcript has a single exon.
AUAUAUGUCUGGUAGGGGAGAUACCAUGGCCACGAAGGUGGUUUUCCCAGAAGGAGGCUUAUCCAUUGAACUCCGGAUGCACUGAUCCUCAAGAUUUACCCAAAUUGGAGAAAUUCAACUGCAUAAUUUGUGGGGUUCUGUGUUUGUGCUCCCUUUAA